This 465-nucleotide long non-coding RNA is filed under the name Lactuca sativa (garden lettuce). RNAcentral describes it as "long non-coding RNA (LSAT_LNC001517)". The record is from RNAcentral. Lineage: Eukaryota; Viridiplantae; Streptophyta; Magnoliopsida; Asterales; Asteraceae.
GUCAGGUCUUGGUAGAAGAUUACUUUCAAAACAGUCAGGUCUUGGUAGAAGAUUACUUUCAAAAGAGUCAGGUCUUGGUAAAAGACUACUUUCAAAACAUUCAGGUAUUGGUAGAAGACUACUUUUUAUACUAGUAGGAAAUAUGAGAUUUUCUAGGGUUUUAAUAUUUAUACUGAAUGUUUCAUCAAACAUUCACCAGUCUUUCAUAACAACUUUUCAAAGUAAUAACAUUAAAAUACUUAUGAAUUCACCAGCUUUAUUGCUGAUACUCGCUUUCAAAAUAACUUGUAUUCUCAGGUUACAAAUAGACAGGUACCGAUGCAAGGUUUAGAGAAGACGGAGCAGUCAAGACUCAUUUCUUAUUUUGAGUAUUCAUUAUGUUGUUUUAUACUUUGAAAGAUCACACUUGUAAGCAGAAUUAUUUUAUUAAUGCAAUGGAUGAUGUUGUUGCUUGUUUACUACUUU